CUCUACAGUCCCAAGCCCGGGACGCGGCUCCGAGCCUCCGGCUGAUGGAGAUGUGCUCGGUCCUCCCAGGAGUGGCAGAGGUUGGGUAUGAUUGUCCAUCGGGGCCGGAAGCCAGUGUCAUCACUGUGACGGCGUUGCCAGCUGAAAGGUGCUGGCGAGAAACUGAAGAUUGACCAUGAGAAAGAAGGUGGAGAAACAGCUGCUGCCCGAGAGGCACAAGUAGCAGGCGGUCUGCAGGAUCCGGCCUUCCCAGGAGUGCAGGGGGCCACAUCUGGAGACCUGGCAGCAGCCGGCCUGUCUGGGGGCACCCGAAGUGUUGGUAAUGUGCAGGCUCCUGGCAAAGAGCAGAACCGUCCUGUACUGAAUCCAGGAAGGAGACCGCAGCCUCCAGUCCUGCCCCAAAGCCUUGGUUGGGACGGGACACAGCCUUGCUGCCCCUUUCCUGAGCUGGCCAAGUUUAAGGGGCAAAGGCCCCCACCCCCAUCUGAGUAAGCGGUGCUGCUUGCUCAACUCCAGGAAUAUGUUAAUUCAAGCUUCAAAUUGUAAUCACUUCUUUAUAAAAGUUUUGAAUUAAGCCA
RNAcentral lists this long non-coding RNA (578 nucleotides) under Heterocephalus glaber (naked mole-rat). RNAcentral's name for it is "lncRNA (ENSHGLG00000049255.1)". The record is from RNAcentral. Lineage: Eukaryota; Metazoa; Chordata; Mammalia; Rodentia; Bathyergidae.